GAUGAAGAACGCAGCGAAAUGCGAUAAGUAAUGUGAAUUGCAGAAUCCAGUGAAUCAUCGAAUCUUUGAACGCACAUUGCGCCCGCCAGCAUUCUGGCGGGCAUGCCUGUUCGAGCGUCAUUUCAACCCUCGACCUCCCCUUGGGGAGGUCGGCGUUGGGGACCGGCAGCACACCGCCGGCCCUGAAAUGGAGUGGCGGCCCGUCUGCGGCGACCUCUGCGUAGUAAUACAGCUCGCACCGGAACCCCGACGCGGCCACGCCGUAAAACACCCAACUUCUGAACGUUGACCUCGGAUCAGGUAGGACUACCCGCUGAACUUAAGCAUAUCAAUAAGCGGAGGA
RNAcentral lists this unclassified non-coding RNA (343 nucleotides) under soil metagenome. Its description in RNAcentral is "partial contains 5.8S ribosomal RNA, internal transcribed spacer 2, and large subunit ribosomal RNA". The stretch from base 1 to 120 matches the Rfam family "5.8S ribosomal RNA", at positions 35 to 154 of the family's 154-position model. The record is from RNAcentral.